RNAcentral lists this microRNA precursor (75 nucleotides) under Podarcis lilfordi (Lilford's wall lizard). Lineage: Eukaryota; Metazoa; Chordata; Lepidosauria; Squamata; Lacertidae. The record is from RNAcentral.
CCCAGAAGCCAGAACAGCAAGAGGGAUUGCUGCUUUCACUGUGCAGUGAUCCCUCUUGCAGUUCUGGCUUCUGAG